GACUCUGGGCCCUACAAGGUUACUGACGUCAGCCCAACUCCGAAUGCCGGUAAGUGAGAGCGCAGCAGUGAGACUGUGGGGGAUAAGCUUCAUAGUCGAGAGGGAAACAACCCAGACCACCAACUAAGGUCCCAAAGCGCGUGCUAAGUGGGAAAGGAUGUGGAGUUGCUCUGACAACCAGGAGGUUGGCUUAGAAGCAGCCACCCUUGAAAGAGUGCGUAAUAGCUCACUGGUCAAGUGAUUCCGCGCCGACAAUGUAACGGGGCUCAAGCACGCCACCGAAGUUGUGGCAUUGACAUUAUUGGUAGGCCUUCGUGGUCCAGCCGUGUUGAUGGGUAGGAGAGCGUCGUGUGGCCAGCGAAGCGGCGGUGGAAACCAGCCGUGGAGGCUACACGAGUGAGAAUGCAGGCAUGAGUAGCGAAUGACGUGUGAGAAACACGUCCUCCGAAAGACCAAGGGUUCCAGGGUCAAGCUAAUCUUCCCUGGGUAAGUCGGGACCUAAGGCGAGGCCGACAGGCGUAGUCGAUGGACAACGGGUUGAUAUUCCCGUACCGGCGAAGAACCGCCCAAGCUAAUCCAGUGGUGCUAAACGUCCGAGCCUUCACAUCGUUGCCUUCGGGUGACACCGUGGAGGGGAGCACGUGACCCCAUGCUGGUGCGGUUAGCGUAUUAACAGGUGUGACGCAGGAAGGUAGUCCAAGCCAGGCGAUGGUUGUCCUGGUGCAAGUGCGUAGGCCGAGUCGUAGGCAAAUCCGCGACUCAUACAGGCUGAGACACGAUGCGGAUAAAAAGUGGAUGAUCCUAUGCUGCCGAGAAAAGCAUCGACGCGAGGUUCUAGCUGCCCGUACCCCAAACCGACUCAGGUGGUCAGGUAGAGAAUACCAAGGAGAUCGAGAGAAUCGUGGUUAAGGAACUCGGCAAAAUGCCCCCGUAACUUCGGGAGAAGGGGGGCCUUCGACGUAUUAGGACUUGCUCCGAAAGCGUUUGGAGGCCGCAGAGACUAGUGGGUAGCGACUGUUUACUAAAAACACAGGUCCGUGCCAAGUCGCAAGACGAUGUAUACGGACUGACGCCUGCCCGGUGCUGGAAGGUUAAGAGGACCGGUUAGCCGCAAGGCGAAGCUGAGAAUUUAAGCCCCAGUAAACGGCGGUGGUAACUAUAACCAUCCUAAGGUAGCGAAAUUCCUUGUCGGGUAAGUUCCGACCUGCACGAAUGGCGUAACGACUUCCCAACUGUCUCAACCGCGAACUCGGCGAAAUUGCAUUACGAGUAAAGAUGCUCGUUACGCGCAGCAGGACGGAAAGACCCCGUGACCUUUACUACAGCUUGGUAUUGGUGUUCGGUGUGGCUUGUGUAGGAUAGGUGGGAGACUUUGAAGCGGUGACGCCAGUUACCGUGGAGUCAUUGUUGAAAUACCACUCUGGUCACUCUGGAUAUCUAACUUCGAACCGUAAUCCGGUUCAGGGACAGUGCCUGGUGGGUAGUUUAACUGGGGCGGUUGCCUCCCAAAAAGUAACGGAGGCGCCCAAAGGUUCCCUCAACCUGGUUGGCAAUCAGGUGGCGAGUGUAAGUGCACAAGGGAGCUUGACUGUGAGACUGACAGGUCGAGCAGGGACGAAAGUCGGGACUAGUGAUCCGGCAGUGGCUUGUGGAAGCGCUGUCGCUCAACGGAUAAAAGGUACCUCGGGGAUAACAGGCUGAUCUUGCCCAAGAGUCCAUAUCGACGGCAUGGUUUGGCACCUCGAUGUCGGCUCGUCGCAUCCUGGGGCUGGAGUAGGUCCCAAGGGUUGGGCUGUUCGCCCAUUAAAGCGGUACGCGAGCUGGGUUUAGAACGUCGUGAGACAGUUCGGUCCCUAUCCGCUGCGCGCGUAGGAAGUUUGAGAGGAUCUGACCCUAGUACGAGAGGACCGGGUUGGACGAACCUCUGGUGUGUCAGUUGUUCCGCCAGGAGCACCGCUGAUUAGCUACGUUCGGGAUGGAUAACCGCUGAAAGCAUCUAAGCGGGAAGCCGGCCUCAAGAUGAGACUUCCAUACCUUCGGGUGAGAGGCUCCCAGCCAGACUACUGGGUUGAUAGGCCAGAUGUGGAAGCACGGUAACGUGUGCAGCUGACUGGUACUAAUAAGCCGAUGACUUGAUAACACACC
RNAcentral lists this ribosomal RNA (2145 nucleotides) under Microbacterium sp. LEMMJ01. RNAcentral's name for it is "bacterial LSU rRNA". It matches the Rfam family "Bacterial large subunit ribosomal RNA", at positions 916 to 2925 of the family's 2925-position model. Lineage: Bacteria; Bacillati; Actinomycetota; Actinomycetes; Micrococcales; Microbacteriaceae. The record is from RNAcentral.